GUUUCAGGGCGGAGUGAAAUUCUCCACCGGUGGUGAUAGUCCACGAACUGCCAGUUAUGGCAGCCGAUCCGAUGAAAUUUCGGUACCGACGGUUAAAGUCCGGAUGAAAGAAA
RNAcentral lists this non-coding RNA (113 nucleotides) under chicken gut metagenome. RNAcentral's name for it is "FMN riboswitch (RFN element)". It matches the Rfam family "FMN riboswitch aptamer (RFN element)". From Rfam's summary of the family: The RFN element is a highly conserved domain that is found frequently in the 5'-untranslated regions of prokaryotic mRNAs that encode for flavin mononucleotide (FMN) biosynthesis and transport proteins. This element is a metabolite-dependent riboswitch that directly binds FMN in the absence of proteins. The record is from RNAcentral.